AUUGAACGCUGGCGGCAUGCUUUACACAUGCAAGUCGAACGGCAGCGCGGGCUUCGGCCUGGCGGCGCGUGGCGAACGGGUGAGUAAUGCAUCGGAACGUGCCCAGUCGUGGGGGAUAGCACGGCGAAGGCCGGAUUAAUCCCGCAUACGACCUGAGGGUGAACGCGGGGGGCCGAAAGGCCUCGCCCGUUUGGCUGGGCCGUAGACGGAUUAGCUAGUUGGUGGGGUAAAGGCUUACCAAGGCGACGAUCCGUAGCUGGUCUGAGAGGACGACCAGCCACACUGGAACUGAGACACGGCCCAGACUCCUACGGGAGGCAGCAGUGGGGAAUUUUGGACAAUGGGGGCAACCCUGAUCCAGCCAUGCCGCGUGCGGGAAGAAGGCCUUCGGGUUGUAAACCGCUUUUGUUCGGGAAGAAAUCCUCUGGGCUAAUACCCCGGGGGGAUGACGGUACCGGAAGAAUAAGCACCGGCUAACUACGUG
This 484-nucleotide ribosomal RNA is filed under the name uncultured bacterium. RNAcentral's name for it is "partial 16S ribosomal RNA". It matches the Rfam family "Bacterial small subunit ribosomal RNA", at positions 28 to 507 of the family's 1533-position model. The record is from RNAcentral.